AGCAGGUCAUAGUGAUCCGGUGGUUCUGAAUGGAAGGGCCAUCGCUCAACGGAUAAAAGGUACUCCGGGGAUAACAGGCUGAUACCGCCCAAGAGUUCAUAUCGACGGCGGUGUUUGGCACCUCGAUGUCGGCUCAUCACAUCCUGGGGCUGAAGUAGGUCCCAAGGGUAUGGCUGUUCGCCAUUUAAAGUGGUACGCGAGCUGGGUUUAGAACGUCGUGAGACAGUUCGGUCCCUAUCUGCCGUGGGCGCUGGAGAACUGAGGGGGGCUGCUCCUAGUACGAGAGGACCGGAGUGGACGCAUCACUGGUGUUCGGGUUGUCAUGCCAAUGGCACUGCCCGGUAGCUAAAUGCGGAAGAGAUAAGUGCUGAAAGCAUCUAAGCACGAAACUUGCCCCGAGAUGAGUUCUCCCUGAGACUUAGAGUCUCCUGAAGGAACGUUGAAGACGACGACGUUGAUAGGCCGGGUGUGUAAGCGCAGCGAUGCGUUGAGCUAACCGGUACUAAUGAACCGUGAGGCUUAACCUUACA
Molecule: ribosomal RNA, 530 nt
Filed under: Salmonella enterica subsp. enterica serovar Agona
Lineage: Bacteria; Pseudomonadati; Pseudomonadota; Gammaproteobacteria; Enterobacterales; Enterobacteriaceae
Description: partial 23S ribosomal RNA
Rfam family: Bacterial large subunit ribosomal RNA
Source: RNAcentral